GCCUGCCCAGUGAAACUUUUCAACGGCCGCGGUAUCCUAACCGUGCAAAGGUAGCGCAAUCCCUUGCCCCCUAAUUAGGGGCUAGUAUGAACGGCAAAAUGAGGGCUCAACUGUCUCCUAGGACCAAGUAAUGAAAUUGAAACUCCCGUACAAAUGCUGGAAUACUCUCAUAAGACGAGAAGACCCUGUGGAACUUCAACUAUUAUACUAGCAAACAAUUAGUUUCCCUUUCCUAGUAAAAUUUUCAGUUGGGGCAACUACGGAACAAAACAGAACUUCCACAAACACGACUAAUCAUCGCACCUAAGGCCGCCACGCCACCAAAUCAACCUAUGAUCCGGCAAAGCCGAUUAAUGAACCAAGCUACCCCAGGGAUAACAGCGCCAUCUCCUUCAAGAGUCCUUAUCGUCAAGGAGGUUUACGACCUCGAUGUUGGAUCAGGACCCCCCGGUGGUGUAGCCGCUACCAAAGGUUCGUUUGUUCAACGAAUAAUGUCCU
This 498-nucleotide ribosomal RNA is filed under the name Lygodactylus picturatus (Yellow-headed dwarf gecko). RNAcentral describes it as "partial 16S ribosomal RNA". It matches the Rfam family "Bacterial large subunit ribosomal RNA", at positions 1857 to 2597 of the family's 2925-position model. Lineage: Eukaryota; Metazoa; Chordata; Lepidosauria; Squamata; Gekkonidae. The record is from RNAcentral.